UCUAUAUACAAAGUAUGAAGCAUCCAGGUCUUCCACCUUCUAAAAUAUAAAGCUUUUAAGAAGUAAGCUAACACCGCCGCCGCCGGAUCACUAUCCCUAUGUCGAGCUUUCUGCAACAAAAGUUGCAGGCUCGACAAAAAUGGGCUCAUUUCACUUACACUCAUUGUGGUUGAUUUGGAGAAAUUUUUCAUGUUUGUAUUUUUAUUUUUACUAAGUGUAAAAUGUACUGAAUUUCAGAUUUACAUCCUGUUUUGAUUGAUAAAGAGAGAUUAAAUGCUACCCUUUUUUCCAGAAUAAGAAGUAUCUCUCAAAAAAGUACAGUUGAUUAAUCAAGAGUCUAUAUUACUGGCAAUUAAAGUCAGACAUCACUUAUCUGGGACAAAAUGGAACAUAUUCAAAAUACAGCAGCAUAAUAAAUCCUGUCAAGCAGAAAUCAAAUUCAAUAGGCAUAUCAAUAGAUUAGUGUCUUGGGGAGAUUGGGGUGUUCUGGAAAAUCAAAAGUAACUAGUACUACAGGUCAACUUUGAAACUGAUUAAAUUUUUUUUUUAAAUUACCGAUGAUUUAGAAAAAAAUAUUUGUAUACAGGCCAUUUUUUGUAAUCUGUAGGACCUAAUUUUCUGACAAGGAUUCAGGUACCAUAUCAUUUCAUAACAAUAUAGCUUAACUACAAACAAAAACAAUUUCAGCUGGACUGCAAUCUACAGGUGGUCUUAUUACACAGGUUAGGUGGACAUAAUAAAACUAGAAUUGUAACUGAAAAAUGAGAAGAAAUGAUGAAAGUUUUAUACAAGACCAUCAUGAUACAGCCCAAAUUGUAACCACACUGGGUGAAAGCCAGUCUUAAUGUCAAUCAAGGGUGACCGAUACUAUUCCAAUAAAUCACACAUAUGUGGUUCUCAGGUAUUCGUUGGGCUUUCUAACAUCUCCAUGAGGAACGUGUCUAUUGGUGUAUCACCAAUCAAUUUAAAGAAAAACAAAUGUUCCAGGCACUUUAGUCCAAUACUUCGUAAGGCAGGAAGUCUGAGCAGUAACUUGGCGAAUCGGCCUGGUUCUUCUGGAUAUCGAGUUUUACAGUAUUCCUCCAAUGAAGCGUAAACUUUCUCACGCAACUGUUCCACUUCAUGGGUAGCAGUAAGUCCUUUAGCAUCUAUUGAACAAAUCAAAAUAUUUUACAUUUAGAAAAAAAAGUAUGUUAAACAUAUGGAAAUAUAAAUAACUUUAUGACGGUCAUAAAAUUUUUAACAGUCAGCAGUUAAUAGGCAAA
This 1265-nucleotide long non-coding RNA is filed under the name Mytilus galloprovincialis (Mediterranean mussel). The record is from RNAcentral. Lineage: Eukaryota; Metazoa; Mollusca; Bivalvia; Mytilida; Mytilidae.